GACGAACGCUGGCGGCGUGCCUAAUACAUGCAAGUCGAGCGAAGUUUUUCUGGUGCUUGCACUAGAAAAACUUAGCGGCGAACGGGUGAGUAACACGUAAAGAACCUGCCUCAUAGACUGGGACAACUAUUGGAAACGAUAGCUAAUACCGGAUAACAGUAUUUCUCGCAUGAGAGAUAUUUAAAAGUUGGUUAUGCUAACACUAUGAGAUGGCUUUGCGGUGCAUUAGCUAGUUGGUGGGGUAAAGGCCCACCAAGGCGACGAUGCAUAGCCGACCUGAGAGGGUGAUCGGCCACACUGGGACUGAGACACGGCCCAGACUCCUACGGGAGGCAGCAGUAGGGAAUCUUCCGCAAUGGGCGAAAGCCUGACGGAGCAACGCCGCGUGAGUGAAGAAGGAUUUCGGUUCGUAAAGCUCUGUUGUUAGGGAAGAAUGGAUAUGUAGUAACUAUACAUGUAAGAGACGGUACCUAACCAGAAAGCCACGGCUAACUACGUGC
This 500-nucleotide ribosomal RNA is filed under the name uncultured bacterium. Its description in RNAcentral is "partial 16S ribosomal RNA". It matches the Rfam family "Bacterial small subunit ribosomal RNA", at positions 28 to 508 of the family's 1533-position model. The record is from RNAcentral.